AGGAGGUAAUGGCUGUGUCUCUGGCCCUGAACCCUGCUGAGCCUUGAGCUGCCAUGUCUGCUGCCUCCCUGCCAGAGAUGUUGCACACGACCUGCACAGUGUGGAGAGAUACCAGAGCCAGCCCAGUGCUCCCCAGGCCCCUCUGCAGCUUUGGCCAUGUCCAUUCACAUCUGGCUCACACAGCCUUAGCUGACCUCCUUGCAGUGUCUAGUUCCCGAAUGCAGAAGGGGAUCGCAGCACACCAUGGAAAUGGUUCUGAUCUGUGCUCCUUUCUAGGUUGGGAUGAUGUCAUGGGUUAUGUAGAAAAGCUGGGGAAUGACAAGUUGAAGAUUCUAGAGCAUGGUGGUGGUCCUCCUGGAUUGAAGAACCAAGACACAGAAGACCAGAAAACGCUGGAGGCAUCCAAACAUCUGGACCAGAUGCUGAGUGAUCUGGAGAGACGCCGUGGUGAGGUUCCUAGGAAGGCUUCUCGAGGAGCUUGGUUGGAAGAUGGUUUGGACCUCUUGGGAGCUUCUGCAGGUGUGUCUGCAGAGGGCACUUUUCCAGCUCCGGGGCUGGAUGGUGUUUACAAACCCAGCUCCUAUCACAAUGGUCCUCCAACAGACAACACCCAAGACUCUGAAGAUAAGAAAUCCCUGGAGGAAGCCAAACUUCUGGGCCAGAUGCUGAGUGAUCUGGAGAGACGCCCUGGUGAGGUUCCUAGGAAGGCUUCUCGAGGAGCUUGGUUGGAAGAUGGUUUGGACCUCUUGGGAGCUUCUGCAGGUGUAUCUGCAGAGGGCACUUUUCCAGCUCCGGGGCUGGAUGGUGUUUACAAACCCAGCUCCUAUCACAAUGGUCCUCCAACAGACAACACCCAAGACUCUGAAGAUAAGAAAUCCCUGGAGGAAGCCAAACUUCUGGGCCAGAUGCUGAGUGAUCUGGAGAGACGCCCUGAGAUGGAAGGAGAGACUGUGCUGAAGAAUGAGUUUCCCAGAGGAAGCAGGGGCUCAUUGGCAGCAUCUGCUGCAGGAAGGGAGGCCAUGCCAGGUACAGUCACAGGAGGUGAGGUUCCUAGGAAGGCUUCUCGAGGAGCUUGGUUGGAAGAUGGUUUGGACCUCUUGGGAGCUUCUGCAGGUGUAUCUGCAGAGGGCACUUUUCCAGCUCCGGGGCUGGAUGGUGUUUACAAACCCAGCUCCUAUCACAAUGGUCCUCCAACAGACAACACCCAAGACUCUGAAGAUAAGAAAUCCCUGGAGGAAGCCAAACUUCUGGGCCAGAUGCUGAGUGAUCUGGAGAGACGCCCUGAGAUGGAAGGAGAGACUGUGCUGAAGAAUGAGUUUCCCAGAGGAAGCAGGGGCUCAUUGGCAGCAUCUGCUGCAGGAAGGGAGGCCAUGCCAGGUACAGUCACAGGAGGUGAGGUUCCUAGGAAGGCUUCUCGAGGAGCUUGGUUGGAAGAUGGUUUGGACCUCUUGGGAGCUUCUGCAGGUCCUCCAACAGACAACACCCAAGACUCUGAAGAUAAGAAAUCCCUGGAGGAAGCCAAACUUCUGGGCCAGAUGCUGAGUGAUCUGGAGAGACGCCCUGAGAUGGAAGGAGAGACUGUGCUGAAGAAUGAAUUUCCCAGAGGAAGCAGGGGCUCAUUGGCAGCAUCUGCUGCAGGAAGGGAGGCCAUACCAAGUACAGUCACAGGAGGUGAGGUUCCUAGGAAGGCUUCUCGAGGAGCUUGGUUGGAAGAUGGUUUGGACCUCUUGGGAGCUUCUGCAGGUGCUCCUGUGCAGAUUCAGAAGAGCAGCCCAAGAGCUCAGGAAGAGAGUACUUGACUCGUUCCAGUUUUUCAUGUCUCCCCCCAUAUGCUCUGGCAUGGCUGCACCCCUGUCUUGAGCACGUCCCAGCACUCACACCUCUAAAAUGAGAACCUCUGCCCCCGAGCCCCCUGGCCCUUCUCCCCAGCCUGGACUGAAGCUGGGCAACCCCUCUCCCCAGGGCAGGGCUUGGCCCUUGUUCUAUGUUUAGAUAAAGAAAUUGAGUUGUCACAGCUAUCUGCGGGUGGUACCACCAGCAAAGCCCACACGACAGCAGCAGCGCUGGCUGAGCUCCAUGUCCAGGAGCAGCCAUGGAUGCCCACGGUGCAGGCAGGCAGGAGCCAGGCAGGGGCUGCUGUGAGCAGCGGCGGGGGCCCAAAGGGGCUGGGGGAACCCAUGCUGAGCAUCCCUGGGGCUGAGGGCACAUCUCCUUCAGUGGCAUCAUCUGGGCCUGGACCUCCUCCAGGGGCAUACCCAGGAAAAGACAGAAGCAAUCACUAAGUGCUUACCUUGAGGAAAAUGGAAUGAGGCUGGGCUGUGCACCACAAGGAAGUCCUUCAUAGACUGAGAGAUGAGCUCAGAGACUGACAAGAGACUGGGUCUGUGGCACCCUGGGGGGACACAGGGAAUAUGGCUCAGCUGUCUUGCUGCUCCCUGAGUGUCAUGUUUGGGUUCCUCCAAAGGCGUGCAGGGGGUUUGGGUCACCCUUAAGUUGUGCAGGGAUGUUAGGGGUUGGUUUGUUUUGGUUUUUUUCCCUUUUCUCUCUGUGGAAUUUUCCCCAUUGUCAUGUUAAGAGACUUGUUGGCUACACCCUAGCACGGAUGGGUAGUGACAGGGGCAUGGGAGAGAUUCCCUGUCCUUUUGUUUUAUUGGUUUUUUUUGAAAGUUUCUCUCUCAGGGUGGAGGGGGUGGGGAAGAGGGCAAACGCAGCCCGACCAGGGGGGCAGAUAAAGGAGGUGGGGGUAGCUGGGCGCUCUCUCCCUCUCUCGCUGCUGGAGCCAGAGGAAGACAGGCCGUGCUGCUAUCCAGCACCCCUGCCAUCCCAACAACGGGAGCCACGUUCUCUGCUGUCUGACACCACACUGCUGCCUUCCCGCUUCAGCCUGCUACCUCCGGGCACCCAGCUGAGCACCACGACCGACACCGUGAGCGGGGGAGCCCCUCCUCCAUCGCUCUCAUACCUGGGCCGCCGCUGCUAUCACUCUAGUCCUGCACAGCUGCACCUGCGCCCACCACCGGUAACUGAGCACAGGUGUCUGCGGCUGAAAAGGACUGGAACUGAGUUCUACUGCUCUGUUUUGUUGUCAAUUUUCAUAGCUGUUGUUGGUUUUGUUUGUCUUGUUAGAUAUAUUAGCAAAGAACUAAAGUUAUUACUAUCCCCAUAUUUUUGCCUGAGAGCCUCUGAUUCCAAAAUUAUAAUAACCUGGAGGGAGAGGAGUUUGCACUCUCCACGUCAGGUAUUUGCCCAGAAAGGCAGGAGCCCCCUUCUUAGCUUUCAAACCAGGACAAAGGAAUUUGGGAUAACUCCAAAGGUGUGCAGGGGCCGAGGGAAAACUAUUAAGUUAAGCAUGUGUCUGGGCUCCCUUGUGAGGCACACAGGGGGACUUUGGAGUGGCUGAAGACACCCAUAAGAUGUGCAGUGGGUUUGCGUCUCCCCUGAAGCAUGCACCUAUCCUGAUGGCCAGUGUUGCAUUGUUUUUUAUAAAUUAUAGCAUCAAGUCCUUCACUUUAUAAAGAUGGGCCAAAGGCCAGCACAGUGCACAGCACAGACUCAGUGUCGGCAUGGGGCUGGUGCUGCCUGCAAUCGUGGAGAUCACCAAUGUGAGUUGAAUGUUGGACUUCACAUUGCUCUUGCAGGUAGAAGCAUGAAAUCUAUCACUUGGCCAAUGUCAUAUAACUCAGAUCAUGUGAAAAAACCAGAUUGGAUGCAGCUGCCUGGAGGGACCUACUCUCCUCACUGGAAGGGCAGCUCUUGAGAUCCAUGCACACAAAAUCCUGACCCAGCUUUGAGGUCACAGCAGGCUCUGGGGUGACAGCACGCUGAGGUCACAGCAGGCUCUGAGGUCACAGAGGUGCCAGAGCCCCAUGGUUGCACAGCAGCACAACCACCGACCAGUCAGUCCCUGACCACAUCUGUUGUGGCAGCAGCGGUGGCAGUGGCAGUGGUGCUGACAUUGGGACAGCUGUGUCAGGACAGCAGCAGCAGCAAGAGCUGCAGGACUGGCAGAGGGCAAGGCACCAUGGCCCUUGCUCUGCGCCUCUUCCUCCUGCUCCUCCUGGCAGUGGCCCUGCCUGCCAGGGCUGCCCAGGCAGCUCCAUGGCGAGCACAGGGAGCAGGUGAGUCAGCAGCCUGGCUCCCCUUUCCAGGGACAGCGCUCUCCUCUCCAUAGGAAGCGUUGGGGAUGGUUUCCCAUAGGGCUUUAGAGAUAUUUUGCUCUGUUUGAGGGAGAGAGCCCACAGGAGCCCUGGGCUGCUUGAGUCACUCAUCCAGGGAUAUUGCACAGGGCAUGGAAAGAAUGUUCAGAGUGACCAGAGCCAGCCCAGAGCUCCCCAGGCCCCUGUUGUGCUUUGGCCAUGCCAACUCACAUCUGGGUCCCAUAGCCUUAUAUCACCCAUACACAUGAAGCGGAACUAUUUUGCUCUAAGGUCUUCCAGGAGCCCAGACCCAAGACAUAGAAGAGAAGAAAUCGAUGGAGGAAGCCAAACUUCUAGGCCAGAUUAUAAGUGAUAUGGAGAGAGGCCGUGGUGGGUGCAUUUCCCUGCCUUGCAGUUCCCUAAGGCAGAAGGAGAUCCCAGCACACCAGGGAAAUGGUUCUGAUCUGUGCUCCCUUCUAGGUGAGGUUCCUUGGAAGGCUUCUCAAGGAAGUUGGUUGGAAGAUGGUUUGGACCUCUUGGGAGCUUCUGCAGGUGUGUCUGCAGGGGGCACUUUCCCAG
This is an RNA transcript of Catharus ustulatus (Swainson's thrush), 4715 nucleotides long. RefSeq lists it as uncharacterized. The record is from RefSeq and is a predicted model, not a curated record. Lineage: Eukaryota; Metazoa; Chordata; Aves; Passeriformes; Turdidae. The transcript has 19 exons.